GAAAUGCGAUAUGUAAUGUGAAUUGCAGAAUCUGUGAGUCAUCGAGUCCUUGAACGCACAUUGCGCCUAAAGGAUAACAAACUUUGGGCACGUCUGUUUCAGUGUCGUUUUUUUCAGGUAAUCUCAUUUUUCCUUUGCUAGCGCAAAGGAGAAGUGGAUAGUUGACUGUUGACUUUGUACCACGCAAGUCAUCAGUUGAAAUGCAAAAUGAGGUGGUCAAUCCUUUGCAAUGCAGCCUUCUUUGCUGGUGAUUAAACGCAGGCGCUGUAAUUGGCAAAGGCGUUGGCAAUCAACCCCCCAGGAGUUUGCGUAAAGCAAGACAAUUCCAAAGGCGACCUGAAAUCAGGCGAGGUUACCCGCUGAACUUAA
Molecule: unclassified non-coding RNA, 369 nt
Filed under: uncultured Helotiaceae
Lineage: Eukaryota; Fungi; Ascomycota; Leotiomycetes; Helotiales; Helotiaceae
Description: sequence contains ITS1
Rfam family: 5.8S ribosomal RNA (bases 1-107)
Source: RNAcentral